UGGGGAAUCUUGCACAAUGGGGGCAACCCUGAUGCAGCGACGCCGCGUGAGCGAUGAAGCCCUUCGGGGCGUAAAGCUCUUUCGACCGGAACGAUAAUGACGGUACCGGGAGAAGAAGCUGCGGCUAACUACGUGCCAGCAGCCGCGGUAAUACGUAGGCAGCAAGCGUUGUUCGGAGUUACUGGGCGUAAAGAGUGCGUAGGCGGUUUUCUAAGUUCGGUGUGAAAUCUCCCGGCUUAACUGGGAGGGUGCGCCGAAGACUGGGAAGCUGGAGUGUGGGAAAGGCAGGCGGAAUUCCUGGUGUAGCGGUGAAAUGCGUAGAUAUCAGGAGGAACACCGGCGGUGUAGACGGCUUGCUAGACCAUAACUGACGCUGAGGCACGAAAGCGUGGGCAGCAAACA
This 402-nucleotide ribosomal RNA is filed under the name uncultured bacterium. Its description in RNAcentral is "bacterial SSU rRNA". It matches the Rfam family "Bacterial small subunit ribosomal RNA", at positions 355 to 774 of the family's 1533-position model. The record is from RNAcentral.